This is a long non-coding RNA of Callithrix jacchus (white-tufted-ear marmoset), 504 nucleotides long. RefSeq lists it as uncharacterized. The record is from RefSeq and is a predicted model, not a curated record. NCBI's taxonomy places the organism in Eukaryota, Metazoa, Chordata, Mammalia, Primates, Cebidae.
UCUUAUGCCUGCCUGAAAGACAGGGUGCAGAUCUUCACAGAAUGGGGGAAGGCCAGAGAUUUGGACUCCAAAGACCACAGCUUGGAUUCUGAGCUGUCACUUACCAGCUAAAAGGGAAUCUUGGCCAAGUUACAGAAGCCCCCUGAGUCUCAACUACCUCAUCUAUAAAAGCUUCUCAUCAGGCCCACCAUCUAUUCAACCAUCAGUUUAAGCUCUAAGAAUGAGACACCAUCCACACGAAAAUAAUCUUCCACAGACUCUCCCAGCAUGUCUGCUGUAGGAAGGGGUGAUCCUACAACCUUCCUAUCCUGGGAGGAGAGACAACACCCCCGCCUUCCAUUCUGGCCUGCCCCCUCCUCUGGCGGCAGCAGUCUCAGUGUGAACCUUAAGUCAGAUUCUCACCCUGUUGCUGCCGUCUUUAGCUUCUGAGUGAUGGGGGGCCAUGGAGCAGUCCUGGGUCUAGUGGUCUGAGAAGAGAAGAAAGCCUGCCCAGGCAGACCGCUG